Molecule: non-coding RNA, 89 nt
Organism: Pisolithus tinctorius
Lineage: Eukaryota; Fungi; Basidiomycota; Agaricomycetes; Boletales; Pisolithaceae
Source: the annotation of a GenBank genome assembly
GUCACUUUGCCGGAGUGGUUAACGGGAUCGCCUGCUAAUAGCCAAGCGGUUGGGCUUUGCCCGCGAGUGUUCGAAUCGCUCAGGUGACG